RNAcentral lists this ribosomal RNA (790 nucleotides) under uncultured bacterium. Its description in RNAcentral is "bacterial SSU rRNA". It matches the Rfam family "Bacterial small subunit ribosomal RNA", at positions 8 to 782 of the family's 1533-position model. The record is from RNAcentral.
AGAGUUUGAUCAUGGCUCAGAUUGAACGCUGGCGGCAUGCCUAACACAUGCAAGUCGAACGGUAACAGCGGGAGCUUGCUCCCGGCUGACGAGUGGCGGACGGGUGAGUAACACGUAGGAACCUACCCAGAAGUGGGGGAUAACCCGGGGAAACUCGGGCUAAUACCGCAUAAUCUCUACGGAGCAAAGGGGGCCUCUGCCUUUGGCAUGCUCUCGCUUCUGGAUGGGCCUGCGGCGGAUCAGCUAGUUGGUAGGGUAAUGGCCUACCAAGGCGAUGACCCGUAGCUGGUCUGAGAGGACGGCCAGCCACACUGGGACUGAGACACGGCCCAGACUCCUACGGGAGGCAGCAGUGGGGAAUAUUGGACAAUGGGGGAAACCCUGAUCCAGCAAUGCCGCGUGCGUGAAGAAGGCCUGCGGGUUGUAAAGCGCUUUCGGCAGGGAAGAAAGCUUCGAGGCUAAUACCCUUGAGGCUUGACGUUACCUGCAGAAGAAGCACCGGCUAACUCUGUGCCAGCAGCCGCGGUAAUACAGAGGGUGCAAGCGUUAAUCGGAGUUACUGGGCGUAAAGCGUGUGUAGGCGGAAACCUAAGUCGGGUGUGAAAGCCCUGGGCUCAACCUAGGAAUUGCAUCCGAUACUGGGUUUCUAGAGUAUGGUAGAGGGAAGCGGAAUUUCCGGUGUAGCGGUGAAAUGCGUAGAUAUCGGGAAAGAACACCAGUGGCGAAAGCGGCUUCCUGGACCAAUACUGACGCUGAGACACGAAAGCGUGGGGGAGCAAACAGGAUUAGA